GAUGAACUCUUUCUUCGUGCCUAAUACAUGCAAGUCGAGCGAACAGACGAGGAGCUUGCUCCUCUGACGUUAGCGGCGGACGGGUGAGUAACACGUGGAUAACCUACCUAUAAGACUGGGAUAACUUCGGGAAACCGGGGCUAAUACCGGAUAAUAUAUUGAACCGCAUGGUUCAAUAGUGAAAGACGGUUUUGCUGUCACUUAUAGAUGGAUCCGCGCCGCAUUAGCUAGUUGGUAAGGUAACGGCUUACCAAGGCAACGAUGCGUAGCCGACCUGAGAGGGUGAUCGGCCACACUGGAACUGAGACACGGUCCAGACUCCUACGGGAGGCAGCAGUAGGGAAUCUUCCGCAAUGGGCGAAAGCCUGACGGAGCAACGCCGCGUGAGUGAUGAAGGUCUUCGGAUCGUAAAACUCUGUUAUUAGGGAAGAACAAAUGUGUAAGUAACUAUGCACGUCUUGACGGUACCUAAUCAGAAAGCCACGGCUAACUACGUG
Molecule: ribosomal RNA, 497 nt
Filed under: uncultured bacterium
Lineage: Bacteria
Description: partial 16S ribosomal RNA
Rfam family: Bacterial small subunit ribosomal RNA
Source: RNAcentral